This 434-nucleotide ribosomal RNA is filed under the name uncultured Clostridium sp. RNAcentral's name for it is "partial 16S ribosomal RNA". It matches the Rfam family "Bacterial small subunit ribosomal RNA", at positions 341 to 792 of the family's 1533-position model. The record is from RNAcentral. Lineage: Bacteria; Bacillati; Bacillota; Clostridia; Eubacteriales; Clostridiaceae.
ACGGAAGGCAGCAGUGGGGAAUAUUGGACAAUGGGGGAAACCCUGAUCCAGCGACGCCGCGUGAGUGAAGAAGUAUUUCGGUAUGUAAAGCUCUAUCAGCAAGGAAGAAAAUGACGGUACUUGACUAAGAAGCUCCGGCUAAAUACGUGCCAGCAGCCGCGGUAAUACGUAUGGAGCAAGCGUUAUCCGGAUUUACUGGGUGUAAAGGGAGCGUAGACGGCAAAGCAAGUCUGAAGUGAAAUCCCGGGGCGCAACCCCGGAACUGCUUUGGAAACUGUUUAGCUAGAGUGCAGGAGAGGUAAGCGGAAUUCCUAGUGUAGCGGUGAAAUGCGUAGAUAUUAGGAGGAACACCAGUGGCGAAGGCGGCUUACUGGACUGUAACUGACGUUGAGGCUCGAAAGCGUGGGGAGCAAACAGGAUUAGAUACCCUGGUA